AACGAACGCUGGCGGCAGGCUUAACACAUGCAAGUCGAGCGCCCGCAAGGGAGCGGCAGACGGGUGAGUAACGCGUGGGAAUCUACCUAGUUCUACGGAACAACACAGGGAAACUUGUGCUAAUACCGUAUACGCCCUACGGGGGAAAGAUUUAUCGGAAUUAGAUGAGCCCGCGUUGGAUUAGCUAGUUGGUGGGGUAAUGGCCUACCAAGGCGACGAUCCAUAGCUGGUCUGAGAGGAUGAUCAGCCACACUGGGACUGAGACACGGCCCAGACUCCUACGGGAGGCAGCAGUGGGGAAUAUUGGACAAUGGGCGAAAGCCUGAUCCAGCCAUGCCGCGUGAGUGAUGAAGGCCUUAGGGUUGUAAAGCUCUUUCAGUAGGGAAGAUAAUGACGGUACCUACAGAAGAAGCCCCGGCUAACUUCGUGCCAGCCGCCGCCGUAA
This 445-nucleotide ribosomal RNA is filed under the name uncultured bacterium. Its description in RNAcentral is "partial 16S ribosomal RNA". It matches the Rfam family "Bacterial small subunit ribosomal RNA", at positions 29 to 523 of the family's 1533-position model. The record is from RNAcentral.